UACAGAGGGGGCGAGCGUUGUUCGGAAUUACUGGGCGUAAAGGGCGCGUAGGCGGCCCGCUAAGUCAGACGUGAAAUCCCUCGACUCAACCGGGGAACUGCGUCUGAUACUGGUGGGCUCGAAUCCGGGAGAGGGAUGUGGAAUUCCAGGUGUAGCGGUGAAAUGCGUAGAUAUCUGGAGGAACACCGGUGGCGAAGGCGGCAUCCUGGACCGGUAUUGACGCUGAGGCGCGAAAGCCAGGGGAGCAAACGGG
RNAcentral lists this ribosomal RNA (253 nucleotides) under uncultured bacterium. RNAcentral's name for it is "partial 16S ribosomal RNA". It matches the Rfam family "Bacterial small subunit ribosomal RNA", at positions 524 to 776 of the family's 1533-position model. The record is from RNAcentral.